UGGGGAAUAUUGCACAAUGGGCGCAAGCCUGAUGCAGCGACGCCGCGUGAGGGAUGACGGCCUUCGGGUUGUAAACCUCUUUCAGUAGGGAAGAAGCGAAAGUGACGGUACCUGCAGAAGAAGCGCCGGCUAACUACGUGCCAGCAGCCGCGGUAAUACGUAGGGCGCAAGCGUUAUCCGGAAUUAUUGGGCGUAAAGAGCUCGUAGGCGGUUUGUCGCGUCUGCCGUGAAAGUCCGGGGCUCAACUCCGGAUCUGCGGUGGGUACGGGCAGACUAGAGUGAUGUAGGGGAGACUGGAAUUCCUGGUGUAGCGGUGAAAUGCGCAGAUAUCAGGAGGAACACCGAUGGCGAAGGCAGGUCUCUGGGCAUUAACUGACGCUGAGGAGCGAAAGCAUGGGGAGCGAACAG
RNAcentral lists this ribosomal RNA (408 nucleotides) under Brucella melitensis. RNAcentral describes it as "partial 16S ribosomal RNA". It matches the Rfam family "Bacterial small subunit ribosomal RNA", at positions 355 to 775 of the family's 1533-position model. The record is from RNAcentral. RNAcentral also lists the same sequence under 2 other names. Lineage: Bacteria; Pseudomonadati; Pseudomonadota; Alphaproteobacteria; Hyphomicrobiales; Brucellaceae.